Molecule: ribosomal RNA, 89 nt
Filed under: Caerostris darwini
Lineage: Eukaryota; Metazoa; Arthropoda; Arachnida; Araneae; Araneidae
Source: RNAcentral
UCCGGUUCUCGUUAGAUCACCGAAGUUAAGCAUCAUUGGGCGCGGUCAGUACUUGGGUGGGUGACCACCUGGGAACACUUUGUGCCGUU